Molecule: ribosomal RNA, 253 nt
Filed under: uncultured bacterium
Lineage: Bacteria
Description: partial 16S ribosomal RNA
Rfam family: Bacterial small subunit ribosomal RNA
Source: RNAcentral
UACGGAGGGUGCAAACGUUGCUCGGAAUCAUUGGGCGUAAAGCGCACGUAGGCGGCCUGUUAAGUCGGGUGUGAAAGCCCUGGGCUCAACCCAGGAAGUGCACUCGAAACUGGCGGGCUUGAAUAUGGAAGAGGGUCGCGGAAUUCCCGGUGUAGAGGUGAAAUUCGCAGAUAUCGGGAAGAACACCCGUGGCGAAGGCGGCUCUCUGGGACGGUACUGACGCUGAGACGCGAAAGCGUGGGGAGCGAACAGG